Molecule: ribosomal RNA, 429 nt
Filed under: bacterium
Lineage: Bacteria
Description: partial 16S ribosomal RNA
Rfam family: Bacterial small subunit ribosomal RNA
Source: RNAcentral
UAGGGAAUCUUCCACAAUGGACGCAAGUCUGAUGGAGCAACGCAGCGUGAGUGAAGAAGGUUUUCGGAUCGUAAAGCUCUGUUGUUGGUGAAGAAGGAUAGAGGCAGUAACUGGUCUUUAUUUGACGGUAAUCAACCAGAAAGUCACGGCUAACUACGUGCCAGCAGCCGCGGUAAUACGUAGGUGGCAAGCGUUGUCCGGAUUUAUUGGGCGUAAAGCGAGCGCAGGCGGAAUGAUAAGUCUGAUGUGAAAGCCCACGGCUCAACCGUGGAACUGCAUCGGAAACUGUCAUUCUUGAGUGCAGAAGAGGAGAGUGGAAUUCCAUGUGUAGCGGUGGAAUGCGUAGAUAUAUGGAAGAACACCAGUGGCGAAGGCGGCUCUCUGGUCUGCAACUGACGCUGAGGCUCGAAAGCAUGGGUAGCGAACAGG